CCUACGGGAGGCAGCAGUGAGGAAUAUUCCACAAUGGGGGAAACCCUGAUGGAGCGAUGCCGCGUGCAGGAAGACGCUUUUCGGAGUGUAAACUGCUUUUAACAAGGAAGAUUAUGACGGUACUUGUAGAAUAAGGACCGGCUAACUACGUGCCAGCAGCCGCGGUAAUACGUAGGGUCCAAGCGUUAUUCGGAAUUACUGGGCGUAAAGCGUUCGUAGGCGGUUUGAUAAGUUGGAUGUGAAAUCCUGUGGCUCAACCACAUGGACUGUGUCCAAAACUAUCUGACUAGAGCAUAGUAGAGGCAAGUGGAAUUUGCGGUGUAGGAGUGACAUCCGUAGAUAUCGCAAGGAACACCAAUGGCGAAGGCAGCUUGCUGGGCUAUUGCUGACGCUCAGGAACGAAAGCGUGGGGAGCGAACGGGAUUAGAUACCCCGGGUAGUCCACGCCGUAAACGAUGAUCACUAGCAGUAUGGAGAUUCGACCCUNUGUGUUGCACAGCUAGCGCGUUAACGUUAGUAGUCCGCCGUCGGGGUAGGUACGGGCGGCGACGACGUUAAACCGUACAAUAGUAAGUUAGUACGGCGUGAGACGUGCCGACGGACGACGACGAGGGAGGUUAGG
Molecule: ribosomal RNA, 622 nt
Filed under: uncultured bacterium
Lineage: Bacteria
Description: bacterial SSU rRNA
Rfam family: Bacterial small subunit ribosomal RNA (bases 1-526)
Source: RNAcentral